UAGCAUAUCAUAGCGAGAAAAGAACCCAACAGGGAUUGCCUCAGUAACGGCGAGUGAAGCGGCAACAGCUCAAAUUUGAAAUCUGGCCCUCACGGUCCGAGUUGUAAUUUGUAGAGGAUGCUUCGAGCAUGGUCUGGCCUAAGUUCCUUGGAACAGGACGUCAUAGAGGGUGAGAAUCCCGUAUGCGGCCAGGUGCCUACGCUCAUGUGAAGCUCCUUCGACGAGUCGAGUUGUUUGGGAAUGCAGCUCAAAAUGGGUGGUAAAUUUCAUCUAAAGCUAAAUAUUGGCCAGAGACCGAUAGCGCACAAGUAGAGUGAUCGAAAGAUGAAAAGCACUUUGGAAAGAGAGUUAAACAGUACGUGAAAUUGUUGAAAGGGAAGCGCUUGCAACCAGACUUGCGCGCGGCCGAUCAUCCGGUGUUCUCACCGGUGCACUCGGUCGCGCUCAGGCCAGCAUCGGUUUCGGUGGUUGGAUAAAGGCCCUAGGAAUGUAGCUUCUCUCGGGGAGUGUUAUAGCCUAGGGUGCAAUGCAGCCCACCGGGACCGAGGACCGCGCUUCGGCUAGGAUGCUGGCGUAAUGGUUGUAAGCGACCCGUCUUGAAACACGGACCAAGGAGUCUAACAUCUAUGCGAGUGUUUGGGUGUCAAACCCAUACGCGUAAUGAAAGUGAACGGAGGUGAGAACCCUUAAGGGUGCAUCAUCGACCGAUCCUGAUGUCUUCGGAUGGAUUUGAGUAAGAGCAUGGCUGUUGGGACCCGAAAGAUGGUGAACUAUGCCUGAAUAGGGUGAAGCCAGAGGAAACACUGGUGGAGGCUCGCAGCGGUUCUGACGUGCAAAUCGAUCGUCAAAUUUGGCAUAGGGCGAAAG
Molecule: ribosomal RNA, 867 nt
Filed under: Pseudeurotium ovale
Lineage: Eukaryota; Fungi; Ascomycota; Leotiomycetes; Thelebolales; Pseudeurotiaceae
Description: LSU rRNA
Rfam family: Eukaryotic large subunit ribosomal RNA
Source: RNAcentral